Long non-coding RNA from Ipomoea nil (Japanese morning glory), 324 nucleotides. RefSeq lists it as uncharacterized. The transcript is spliced from 3 exons. NCBI's taxonomy places the organism in Eukaryota, Viridiplantae, Streptophyta, Magnoliopsida, Solanales, Convolvulaceae. The record is from RefSeq and is a predicted model, not a curated record.
GAAUCCUCAUCGCAUGAGAACCUGCAAACAAAACUAUUUCAGGGUAGAUUGUGUGUAUUGUGUACUGGAAUAUGAGAUUGUGUCCAUUUAUAAGGUUCUCAUUGGAAUACCACCCAGGAUUUAGACUUCAGAGUAAACAUAAACUUGAUAUAAUAUGCUUUUAAAAAACCUUUGCAACUAAAUUAUGUCAUAUUAGGAAAGAUUUGAUCAAAUUUUGUCCAAAUUGUAUUUUCCUUCUCUUAUGGUGUCAUAGUUAUCCAUUGGAAGGGAAUACCAAUGCAAUACAAAAUAAAUUUGGUAAAAAUUUACUUGACAUGAUAAGAU